GACGAACGCUGGCGGCGUGCCUAAUACAUGCAAGUAGAACGCUGAAGAGAGGAGCUUGCUCUUCUUGGAUGAGUUGCGAACGGGUGAGUAACGCGUAGGUAACCUGCCUUGUAGCGGGGGAUAACUAUUGGAAACGAUAGCUAAUACCGCAUAACAAUGGAUGACACAUGUCAUUUAUUUGAAAGGGGCAAUUGCUCCACUACAAGAUGGACCUGCGUUGUAUUAGCUAGUAGGUGAGGUAAUGGCUCACCUAGGCGACGAUACAUAGCCGACCUGAGAGGGUGAUCGGCCACACUGGGACUGAGACACGGCCCAGACUCCUACGGGAGGCAGCAGUAAGGAAUCUUCGGCAAUGGGGGCAACCCUGACCGAGCAACGCCGCGUGAGUGAAGAAGGUUUUCGGAUCGUAAAGCUCUGUUGUAAGUCAAGAACGGGUGUGAGAGUGGAAAGUUCACACUGUGACGGUAGCUUACCAGAAAGGGACGGCUAACUACGUG
RNAcentral lists this ribosomal RNA (497 nucleotides) under uncultured bacterium. RNAcentral's name for it is "partial 16S ribosomal RNA". It matches the Rfam family "Bacterial small subunit ribosomal RNA", at positions 28 to 507 of the family's 1533-position model. The record is from RNAcentral.